AUUAACCGUAUCUGCAAUUUUUGAUUCAUUGAGUAUGGAUAAUCCUCAAUUUCGGGCAUUUGUCUCUGUUGAUGGAUUGGCUGAGAUGUUCGUUUUUGAGUGUUUGAGCAGAAGAUCUCCGUAGGAACGAUUCACAAUCAAUUUAGCCUCCUUUGGAUGUUGAGGAAAUUAAAGAUCUCCGUCGGAACGAUUCACAACCAAUUUAGCUUCCUUUGGAUGUUGAGGAAAUUAUCUAAUUUUACUCGUGGCCUUGGCAAAAUUAUUGUUAAAUAUAUUGGUGCCCAUAGUUUUGAGAUAUGGGGUACCUUGAACUUGUGUCUUGAGUGUUUGAGCAGAAGAUCUCCGUAGGAACGAUUCACAACCAAUUUAGCUUCCUUUGGAUGUUGAGGAAAUUAAAGAUCUCCGUCGGAACGAUUCACAACCAAUUUAGCUUCCUUUGGAUGUUGAGGAAAUUAUCUAAUUUUACUCGUGGCCUUGGCAAAAUUAUUGUUAAAUAUAUUGGUGCCCACAGUUUUGAGAUAUGGGGUACCUUGAACUUGUGUCCGAGUGGUUUAGUUAAGAAUGGAGGCCGGCGUUGGAAAGUGUUUCAACUUUCAAUUGUAUACGAUGGUUAAUUUCGUGAACACCUGCCUAGAUGGGAAGAAGUUGGGCUGGUACUGAAUGUGAUCAGAACAGCUGGGAGGCUGUUUUAGCACAACUUUAGCUGGCUUGUAGGUCUUUAGAUCUGCUCUGCUUAUUAUGUGCGAUUUUAGUACAUACGAUCAGCUGGGAGGCUGUUUUAGCACAACUUUAGCUGGCUUGUAGGUCUUUAGAUCUGCUCUGCUUAUUAUGUGUGAUUUUAGUACAUACGAUCAUUGAUGUUUUGUGACAGUAUGUAAAUUGCAGCUAUCAAUUAAAAUUCCAAUGAGAAAUUAAGUGUUUGGAAUUGUAAGAUCACGUGGAAAAAAUUGAUGAAGAAUUUCUUUCUUGCACUGUUCCUUUUGUCCUGAAGACUGGGACAAUAAACACAAGCAUUUCUAAGUAUGUAUCUGGUUAAUCUGAAGUUGCAAAGCCGGUGUUUGAAUCAAAUGGAAGUAGUAGUCGUGAAUCCUUCUCUUUGGACAUCUAUCUCAAUCUUCUGUUCAGUUUGUUAAUCACUCUGUUUCCUUUUUCUAUUUCGCGUUCAACUUUUGAUACUGGUAUCCGUUGAGGCUAUUGGUAUUUGUAGUUUUCACUUUUCCUUUAGUAGGCUGACUUAGGAUUGUGAGUUUCAACUUUCAAGUGCCUUCCAGGCCUUCUGGUUUGUUUUAUCUUCCAACCGAUCUAAUCUUGGUCUCCUGAAGGAGAUCAUCUAGUAUGUGUGGUGGUAGCUGUACUUGACUGAUGGUAAUGAUGUUGUACACUUUACCCAUUUCCGUAUGAGAGGUAGAUUGUUGGACCGUGGAAAAUAAGAUAUUGUGGCACGUCGCUUUUUAUUUGCAACUUCAGUUUUUGUGAAUUUUAGUAAAAUGUUAGGCAUGUGCAAUGAUGAGGCCUUUCAUUAACAAAGAUAAGCCUCAGGGCAAAAAGCUGAAUUAAAACAAAGGGAAAAGAAAGACCAGAGAGUAUGGACCACUUGGAUGUUUUGACCCAACGGAUAACAUUUUCCUUUCUAACUAUGAAAGAAUCUAACUAACUGUUAGGAAUGUAUAAAAUUCUUCUUCAGGGUAAGAUUCCCUUGUUGAAGUGGCAUGUGCAGAAUCUCAGACAGAGGUAGGGUUGUCUGUGAUGGACAACAAAUAAUUCAUCCCUGCAGUCCCACACUUUUCCCAAUAUUUUUCUCUCAGGACGGGUUUGAUUGUUGUCCAUUGCUUUUACGUUAGGUUGGACUAUCCUUCAUCAGUAUCUCUUUAAAUGGAGUUCUCCAAGAAUGAAGUCAUCAUGCAAUCAUUAUUAUCUACUGCUGGACGCUUUGGAGCUCCACAAUGCUUCACGAUAGUUCUAGUUUGGGUUCCUUUUGAACCUACUUGUGGAUUCUUGUAGAUCAACUUAUUUUGAUGAAUUCUCAUGGUGGAGUUUGCUGAUUGGAGCUCUCAGCCUUUGUUGGAAUUUGUUGUUGCUGGUUUCAAUUGGUGUUCAUGUGCGACAACACAACAUUGUCUGGGGUGUUUUGCCCAUUCGGAGGGGCAAGUAGACCUGCCUUUGUAGGUUUAGGAUUUUUCCCUUAAACUGUUUCCUGAAUGCAGGGCUUGUAGUUGUUAAAUUCAUCCAUAAGGCUCAAUGGGAGACGUAGUAAUUGAGCAUUCAGGGACGCCACGUUGUGAGGCCUUAAACUUGCAAAAUUUUACAACAUCUGAGAAUGAUGCUGAUCUGGUUCAGAGUUUCCAUGGGGGCUACUUGCCUGAGGAUGGUACAUGUGUAGAAAAAUCCACUUCUACUGAAGCCCUUGACAGAGGAUACUUGGAAUAUGGGUAUGUUCUCUGACUCUUUCAUGAUGGUAAACUUAUGUCUAUUUUGUACAAUCAUUCUUGGUUGAUCUUUGAUCACGUAUUCUGUUGUAAUACUGAAGGUGUAGAUACAUAUCAUAAUAUAUGUUUGCUACACCUCAUACAUAGUGGAUGUUAUGAUCAUCAAUUAAUCUCUGAUGUGUUUUUUUCCCCAGCUGUUCACACUAUCGGCGUAGAUGUCGCAUUAGAGCCCCAUGCUGCAAUGAGAUAUUUGACUGCAGGCAUUGUCAUAAUGAAGCUAAGGUAAGACCUGAGGUAAAUACAUUAUCUCAUCACAAAAAAAUAAAAAGGAAGGAUGAGGGGGUAAGAGCUGAUAAAUGAUGGGAGUCAUAAUUUGGGCAAUAGACAAGCUAAUUGGUGAUGGAAGCUUACACUUACGAAUAAGUAUAAUAUGUCUUGUCUGUGGCUAAAGAGGUGCAUAAUAUGCUACAUAAGUAAGAUUCCAGUUAAUAAGAUGCCUGCAUCCAGUGGUAUAUGCAAAAUUGUUUGAAUGUGUGCAAUUCUUUUCUUUAACCUUUUGAUUGCAAGGCACCUUGGUUUACACCUCAUAGAAUCCAUUGCAGGCGGCUACGGGUCAUUUAGAUUUUACCUUAUCAGCAAAGAUUCUAAUUUUGUUCGCAAUGAUUACUCAUCUUCCAUGCUUGGCUGUUAAAAACUUUACUGCCAUAUUUGCUUGUCUACAGAACAAUAUCAGCCUUGAUCAGAAACUACGACAUGAGAUUCCUCGUCACAAGGUGGAAAGGGUAAUGCUCCUGACUGGGACUGUUGUACUACUUUGCAGAUAACUUUUCCCUAUAUAGGGUUCUCUUCCAUUCCCUCAUUUUCAUCAGCUAGCUUCACCUUCUCUUCACUUAAUUUUGUAUGGAAUCUGAACAUGAUGCAUCUGAACAUGAUGCGUAAGAAAAUAUAUAUUCUCAUUCGUUGUGGUUCUUUGCAGGUUAUAUGCGCACUUUGUGAUACUGAACAAGAGGUGAGUGGUGGUUAUGUCAUUCCUUCUUUACACACUUUUAUAUGGUCAUGAUCUAAAGUAUUUUUGCAAUUGAGCAACACAAGACUCUUGCUUGAGCAUGUUACACUUCAUUGGGCAAGAACUGAGUUCUCUUGGUUUUGAAGUUUUCUAUUCUAGCUAUAAGCAGUUUGCGUUCUGACCAGUUAUCACUCCUCUACCAGGUUCGUCAAGUUUGUAUUAAUUGCGGCGUGUGCAUGGGGAGAUAUUUCUGUGAAACCUGUAAGCUAUUUGAUGAUGAUGUAAGUUGAAACUCUAUUCACUUUAGUUUUUCACGUGAGGAUGGUUGAUACAUACAUUGAAUUCAAGGAGUGGAUAGUAACAGGAAAUGCAGCUGUAAGUAAAAUAUUUAAUGUGCUGACCAACCUCUGCCCAUUUUUCAUGUUGCAGAUAUCCAAGAGACAGUAUCACUGCAAUGGUUGUGGCAUUUGCAGGUAUUGUUACUUUGCUGAAAUUCCACUGCCUUCCCCAUUCUGCUUAUCCUUUUGUCUUCCUUCCUCUUUCUCUUUGUCUGUCAUUUCUGUUGAGGCUCUGGUAGAGAGAGAAAGCAACUUAAGAAAAGGAAAUGACACCUUAACACCUUUGCUAACAGCAUCCACUUGCAAUAAGCAUUCAGUUCCAAUUCAUCUGAACAUUCAUUCUUGCCCUGUAUGUUUGAUGUCUAAGCUCUGCAUGAAUUUUGAUGUUGGUGUUUUAUUUUGAUUAUUUUCUUAUUUCUAGGAUUGGUGGAGCGGAGAACUUCUUCCACUGUUCCAAAUGCAGUAAGUCUCAGUCGUCCCUUUGUUUAUCAUAUACUCCCAUCCUAUGCAUGCCGUACACUCCAUUCGGUUUAGGAAUUUCUUCUCUCUUACUGGCUGAUGGUUGUGGGGUACAGGAUGUUGUUAUUCAGUUCUCUUGAAGAAUGGUCACCCCUGUGUUGAGGGGGCAAUGCAUCAUGACUGUCCUGUUUGUUUUGAGGUAUGCAUUGCGCAUAAAACUUCUCUUCAGUUUCUUUUACCCUCAUUUAAACCUUUACUGUGAUCAGCAUUUUGUUCCAACCGAAUGAAUUGAGAAUGGUGGUUAUAUGCAGUAUCUCUUUGAGUCAGUAAAUGAUGUAACAGUCCUGCCCUGUGGACACACUAUUCACAAGAACUGCUUGAAGGAGAUGCAGGAACACUACCAGUAAGUUAGUGCUAUUUUUAAUUGUUCUUUAGUUUCCACAUGUGAGGGU
This 4681-nucleotide long non-coding RNA is filed under the name Capsicum annuum. RNAcentral's name for it is "long non-coding RNA (CANN_LNC012833)". Lineage: Eukaryota; Viridiplantae; Streptophyta; Magnoliopsida; Solanales; Solanaceae. The record is from RNAcentral.